Molecule: long non-coding RNA, 763 nt
Organism: Pyrus x bretschneideri (Chinese white pear)
Lineage: Eukaryota; Viridiplantae; Streptophyta; Magnoliopsida; Rosales; Rosaceae
Exons: 2
Source: RefSeq, a predicted model, not a curated record
AAAUACGAGCGAACUAGCUAAGACCGUCGUCAUCCACCUGCUCGCUCGCCUCUUCGUGUUCGUCUUGUUCAUCCUGCUCGCCCUACUUGUCAUGCUCGUCUUGAUCGUCCUGAUCGCUGGACUAACUACAUCGGCCACACUCGCUCGCUCGAGCAGGCCAAGAAAUCAAUAGGUUUUGCAGAAGGGGUAUGGAUGGUAGGCGUGAUUGAUGAGAUUAAAAUGCCUGUUACAGAAACCAACCGAAACCCAAUAUUAGUUGACACAAAGACUUGUGUGAAAGAUACACUUCCUGCUGAACCACAACGAAGAAAUGGAAGGUAUGCACCUUUAUUAGCUUCUGUUUUGGGCUGAUGUUUUGUUGCCGUUGAUGAGGAAAUGCACCAGAAUUAAGUGCGAAGUCUGCGGACUAUACUAAUACACCAAGUUAGAGAAAAGCAGUAGCAUUGGUGAUGUUUUAAUCAGCAUCCUCAGUAAGUGUACAAAGAAGCACAAUUCUUGGAGUUGCUUCUUUGUGGUAAUUGCUAUGUUGGUUGUGCCAUGAAUGUAUUGUUCAUGUUGUAUCGUAGCCAUUGUUUGAUUCAAUUGUUGUAAGUUAUUCUUUGGAUGAAAUCGUUAAACAAGAGUUGUAAAAUUCAAUUGUUUUGUAUGGAAAGCUACGCUCAAAGUGCAAAGGAUGUCUCUCUAUCAAAUUUAGCAAAGUCAUAUAGUGAUGUUACAAUUGUAUGUUAAAAUUGGGAUGAAUGAAUAUGGUAUUAUUCAUGGA